This 147-nucleotide non-coding RNA is filed under the name Lepisosteus oculatus (spotted gar). RNAcentral describes it as "Eukaryotic large subunit ribosomal RNA". It matches the Rfam family "Eukaryotic large subunit ribosomal RNA", at positions 2825 to 2984 of the family's 3401-position model. Lineage: Eukaryota; Metazoa; Chordata; Actinopteri; Semionotiformes; Lepisosteidae. The record is from Rfam by way of RNAcentral.
GAUGGCCGGCCUGCGGCAGCCAAGUGUUCAUGGCGUUGGCAUUUUCUGAUCCCUGGAUGUUCUUCUCUUUGCGAGGCAGAGUUCACCACGCAUUAGAUUGUUCACCCACUAACUAGGAGCUGGGGAUAAACUGCCGUGAGACAAGUU